This 499-nucleotide ribosomal RNA is filed under the name Lepas anatifera. RNAcentral describes it as "partial 16S ribosomal RNA". It matches the Rfam family "Bacterial large subunit ribosomal RNA", at positions 1836 to 2597 of the family's 2925-position model. Lineage: Eukaryota; Metazoa; Arthropoda; Thecostraca; Lepadidae. The record is from RNAcentral.
UUCCUCUUUAUUAAGAGGUAGGGCCUGCUCACUGAUGUAUUUAAGAGCCGCGGUAUAUUGACUGUGCUAAGGUAGCAUAAUAAUUUGUCUUUUAAUUGAAGACUAGAAUGAAUGGUUUAACGAGAAAUUAACUUUUUUGAAAGUAACAUUUUGAAUUUAAUUUUUUAGUGAAAAAGCUAAAAUAGAAUAAAAAGACGAGAAGACCCUAUAGAGCUUUAUAUUUGAAUUAUUUGUUUUUAAAUAAUUUUGGUAAUCGCAAAUAAGUAAAUUAUUUUGUUGGGGCGACAUUUAGAUAAGAAAAACUUUUUAUUUUUAAAAUUUCAAUUGAAAAAUUUUUGAUCCUUAAAAAAGAUUAAAAGAAUAAGUUACCUUAGGGAUAACAGCGUAAUCUUUCUUGAGAGUUCUAAUCGACAGAAAGGUUUGCGACCUCGAUGUUGGACUAAAAUUAAAUUAAGGAGCAGUAUCCUUAGAUUUAGGUCUGUUCGACCUAUAGACUUUU